AGGUGUGAAGGAGCUUGAGGUAAAAUGGAGUUACAUCUACGGCUGUCAACAGGCUGGGUUGAGGUUUCCAACACCAGUUUCUGUGCUUGUAAGUGUUGUGGUAUUUGCUCUUGCUCAUCUCACUCCUAGAGAGUUUCCCCAACUUUUCAUGCUAGGGUUGCUUUGGGGUUUUCAUAUGCCCAAACUCACAAUCUUCUAACACCAAUCACCAUAUGUGCACUGUGGAAUUCUGGAGUGAUCUUGCUUCUCACCUCUCUUCAGGUAUGCAAAUAUCCUUUUAUAGGUCCAAGGACUGCUGUUUGGAUAUUGGUGUUGAGCACAACUCGCUAGCCAAUAUGCAAAUAACCUCUCUUCCACUUCUUACUCUUAAGUCCUAACCCAUGAUGCAUGACUAGAUUCACUUAAAUGCAUAUUCGGUGUUGAGAUAACAGUUUAUUAAAUUGAAUCCCUUCUUGAUCAGGUUAAACCUUU
Molecule: long non-coding RNA, 471 nt
Organism: Magnolia sinica
Lineage: Eukaryota; Viridiplantae; Streptophyta; Magnoliopsida; Magnoliales; Magnoliaceae
Exons: 3
Source: RefSeq, a predicted model, not a curated record